Molecule: ribosomal RNA, 492 nt
Filed under: uncultured bacterium
Lineage: Bacteria
Description: partial 16S ribosomal RNA
Rfam family: Bacterial small subunit ribosomal RNA
Source: RNAcentral
AGUGAACGCUGGCGGUAGGCCUAACACAUGCAAGUCGAACGGCAGCACAGUAAGAGCUUGCUCUUACGGGUGGCGAGUGGCGGACGGGUGAGGAAUACAUCGGAAUCUACUUUUUCGUGGGGGAUAACGUAGGGAAACUUACGCUAAUACCGCAUACGACCUACGGGUGAAAGCAAGGGAUCUUCGGACCUUGCGCGAUUGAAUGAGCCGAUGUCGGAUUAGCUAGUUGGCGGGGUGAAGGCCCACCAAGGCGACGAUCCGUAGCUGGUCUGAGAGGAUGAUCAGCCACACUGGAACUGAGACACGGUCCAGACUCCUACGGGAGGCAGCAGUGGGGAAUAUUGGACAAUGGGCGCAAGCCUGAUCCAGCCAUACCGCGUGGGUGAAGAAGGCCUUCGGGUUGUAAAGCCCUUUUGUUGGGAAAGAAAAGCAGCAGGUUAAUACCCCGCUGUUCUGACGGUACCCAAAGAAUAAGCACCGGCUAACUUCGUG